AUUAGUUUGGCAGAUUAGUGCCAUGAAUUUAGAAUUCAUAUAUAUAUAUAAGUUAUAUAACUAAUA
RNAcentral lists this transfer RNA (66 nucleotides) under Prionoglaris stygia. Its description in RNAcentral is "tRNA-Leu". Lineage: Eukaryota; Metazoa; Arthropoda; Insecta; Psocodea; Prionoglarididae. The record is from RNAcentral.